UUGGAGGGCAAGUCUGGUGCCAGCAGCCGCGGUAAUUCCAGCUCCAAUAGCGUAUAUUAAAGUUGUUGCAGUUAAAAAGCUCGUAGUUGAAUUUCGGGGUUAGUAGGUUGGUCAUGCCACUGGUAUGUACUGGUCUCACUGAUUCCUCCUUCCUGAUGAGCCGUAAUGCCAUUAAUUUGGUGUUGCGAGGAAUCUGGACUGUUACUUUGAAAAAAUUAGAGUGUUUAGAGCAAGCUAACGCUUGAAUACAUUAGCAUGGAAUAAUGAAAUAGGACGUUCGAUCCUAUUUUGUUGGUUUCUAGGAAUGACGUAAUGAUUAAUAGGGAUAGUCGGGGGCAUUAGUAUUCAAUUGUCAGAGGUGAAAUUCUUGGAUUUAUUGAAGACUAACUACUGCGAAAGCAUUUGCCAAGGAUGUUUUCAUUAAUCAAGAACGAAAGUUAGGGGAUCGAAGACGAUCAGAUACCGUCGUAGUCUUAACCAUAAACUAUGCCGACUAGGGAUCGGAUGAUGUUAUUUUUAAUGACUCAUUCGGCGCCUUACGGGAAACCAAAGUGUUUGGGUUC
RNAcentral lists this ribosomal RNA (563 nucleotides) under uncultured Glomeromycotina. RNAcentral's name for it is "SSU rRNA". It matches the Rfam family "Eukaryotic small subunit ribosomal RNA", at positions 548 to 1114 of the family's 1831-position model. Lineage: Eukaryota; Fungi; Glomeromycota. The record is from RNAcentral.